RNAcentral lists this ribosomal RNA (2900 nucleotides) under Klebsiella pneumoniae. RNAcentral's name for it is "23S ribosomal RNA". It matches the Rfam family "Bacterial large subunit ribosomal RNA". Lineage: Bacteria; Pseudomonadati; Pseudomonadota; Gammaproteobacteria; Enterobacterales; Enterobacteriaceae. The record is from RNAcentral.
UUAAGCGACUAAGCGUACACGGUGGAUGCCCUGGCAGUCAGAGGCGAUGAAGGACGUGCUAAUCUGCGAAAAGCGUCGGUAAGGUGAUAUGAACCGUUACAGCCGGCGAUGUCCGAAUGGGGAAACCCAGUGUGAUUCGUCACACUAUCGUUAACUGAAUACAUAGGUUAACGAGGCGAACCGGGGGAACUGAAACAUCUAAGUACCCCGAGGAAAAGAAAUCAACCGAGAUUCCCCCAGUAGCGGCGAGCGAACGGGGAGCAGCCCAGAGUCUGAAUCAGCUUGUGUGUUAGUGGAACGGUCUGGAAAGUCCGACGGUACAGGGUGAUAGUCCCGUACACCAAAAUGCACAGGUUGUGAACUCGAAGAGUAGGGCGGGACACGUGGUAUCCUGUCUGAAUAUGGGGGGACCAUCCUCCAAGGCUAAAUACUCCUGACUGACCGAUAGUGAACCAGUACCGUGAGGGAAAGGCGAAAAGAACCCCGGCGAGGGGAGUGAAAAAGAACCUGAAACCGUGUACGUACAAGCAGUGGGAGCACCUUUAUGGUGUGACUGCGUACCUUUUGUAUAAUGGGUCAGCGACUUAUAUUCUGUAGCAAGGUUAACCGUAUAGGGGAGCCGCAGGGAAACCGAGUCUUAACUGGGCGUUAAGUUGCAGGGUAUAGACCCGAAACCCGGUGAUCUAGCCAUGGGCAGGUUGAAGGUUGGGUAACACUAACUGGAGGACCGAACCGACUAAUGUUGAAAAAUUAGCGGAUGACUUGUGGCUGGGGGUGAAAGGCCAAUCAAACCGGGAGAUAGCUGGUUCUCCCCGAAAGCUAUUUAGGUAGCGCCUCGUGAAUUCAUCUUCGGGGGUAGAGCACUGUUUCGGCUAGGGGGUCAUCCCGACUUACCAACCCGAUGCAAACUACGAAUACCGAAGAAUGUUAUCACGGGAGACACACGGCGGGUGCUAACGUCCGUCGUGAAGAGGGAAACAACCCAGACCGCCAGCUAAGGUCCCAAAGUCAUGGUUAAGUGGGAAACGAUGUGGGAAGGCACAGACAGCCAGGAUGUUGGCUUAGAAGCAGCCAUCAUUUAAAGAAAGCGUAAUAGCUCACUGGUCGAGUCGGCCUGCGCGGAAGAUGUAACGGGGCUAAACCAUGCACCGAAGCUGCGGCAGCGACACUAUGUGUUGUUGGGUAGGGGAGCGUUCUGUAAGCCUGCGAAGGUGUGCUGUGAGGCAUGCUGGAGGUAUCAGAAGUGCGAAUGCUGACAUAAGUAACGAUAAAGCGGGUGAAAAGCCCGCUCGCCGGAAGACCAAGGGUUCCUGUCCAACGUUAAUCGGGGCAGGGUGAGUCGACCCCUAAGGCGAGGCCGAAAGGCGUAGUCGAUGGGAAACAGGUUAAUAUUCCUGUACUUGGUGUUACUGCGAAGGGGGGACGGAGAAGGCUAUGUUAGCCGGGCGACGGUUGUCCCGGUUUAAGCAUGUAGGCUGGUUAUCCAGGCAAAUCCGGAUAAUCAAGGCUGAGGUGUGAUGACGAGGCACUACGGUGCUGAAGUAACAAAUGCCCUGCUUCCAGGAAAAGCCUCUAAGCAUCAGGUAACAUCAAAUCGUACCCCAAACCGACACAGGUGGUCAGGUAGAGAAUACCAAGGCGCUUGAGAGAACUCGGGUGAAGGAACUAGGCAAAAUGGUGCCGUAACUUCGGGAGAAGGCACGCUGGUGUGUAGGUGAAGUCCCUGCGGAUGGAGCUGAGACCAGUCGAAGAUACCAGCUGGCUGCAACUGUUUAUUAAAAACACAGCACUGUGCAAACACGAAAGUGGACGUAUACGGUGUGACGCCUGCCCGGUGCCGGAAGGUUAAUUGAUGGGGUUAUCCGUAAGGAGAAGCUCUUGAUCGAAGCCCCGGUAAACGGCGGCCGUAACUAUAACGGUCCUAAGGUAGCGAAAUUCCUUGUCGGGUAAGUUCCGACCUGCACGAAUGGCGUAAUGAUGGCCAGGCUGUCUCCACCCGAGACUCAGUGAAAUUGAACUCGCUGUGAAGAUGCAGUGUACCCGCGGCAAGACGGAAAGACCCCGUGAACCUUUACUAUAGCUUGACACUGAACAUUGAGCCUUGAUGUGUAGGAUAGGUGGGAGGCUUUGAAGCGUGGACGCCAGUCUGCGUGGAGCCAACCUUGAAAUACCACCCUUUAAUGUUUGAUGUUCUAACGUUGGCCCCUGACCGGGGUUGCGGACAGUGUCUGGUGGGUAGUUUGACUGGGGCGGUCUCCUCCCAAAGCGUAACGGAGGAGCACGAAGGUUAGCUAAUCCUGGUCGGACAUCAGGAGGUUAGUGCAAUGGCAUAAGCUAGCUUGACUGCGAGCGUGACGGCGCGAGCAGGUGCGAAAGCAGGUCAUAGUGAUCCGGUGGUUCUGAAUGGAAGGGCCAUCGCUCAACGGAUAAAAGGUACUCCGGGGAUAACAGGCUGAUACCGCCCAAGAGUUCAUAUCGACGGCGGUGUUUGGCACCUCGAUGUCGGCUCAUCACAUCCUGGGGCUGAAGUAGGUCCCAAGGGUAUGGCUGUUCGCCAUUUAAAGUGGUACGCGAGCUGGGUUUAGAACGUCGUGAGACAGUUCGGUCCCUAUCUGCCGUGGGCGCUGGAGAAUUGAGGGGGGCUGCUCCUAGUACGAGAGGACCGGAGUGGACGCAUCACUGGUGUUCGGGUUGUCAUGCCAAUGGCACUGCCCGGUAGCUAAAUGCGGAAGAGAUAAGUGCUGAAAGCAUCUAAGCACGAAACUUGCCCCGAGAUGAGUUCUCCCUGAGACUUUAAGUCUCCUGAAGGAACGUUGAAGACGACGACGUUGAUAGGCCGGGUGUGUAAGCGCAGCGAUGCGUUGAGCUAACCGGUACUAAUGAACCGUGAGGCUUAACCU